UUCCUGGUAGCUCAGACGGUAAAGAACCUGCCUGCAAUGCAAAAGAUUCUGGUUCGAAUCCUGGCCAGGAAG
This is a transfer RNA of Ovis aries (sheep), 72 nucleotides long. It matches the Rfam family "tRNA". From Rfam's summary of the family: Transfer RNA (tRNA) molecules are approximately 80 nucleotides in length. Their secondary structure includes four short double-helical elements and three loops (D, anti-codon, and T loops). The record is from Rfam. NCBI's taxonomy places the organism in Eukaryota, Metazoa, Chordata, Mammalia, Artiodactyla, Bovidae.